UUGUAUUAAUUGUUUAAUAUUUAAUUUUAUUAUAUUUGUGUAUUUUGAAUAUUUUUAGUUUAAUUUAAUUUUUAUUAUGGAUAAAUUAAGAAACCUCGCUACUAAAGGUGUUAAAAUUUUUUGUCCCGGAAGCGGUAGUGGUAGUAAAAAGCGAAUUACUAGCUGUAGAGGUAGUUCAAGUAGUAGAUAUACCCGUGUGUCUUCGCCUCCGGUACCGCUUGGUACACCUUUUGAGGA
This 237-nucleotide long non-coding RNA is filed under the name Capsicum annuum. RNAcentral's name for it is "long non-coding RNA (CANN_LNC004022)". Lineage: Eukaryota; Viridiplantae; Streptophyta; Magnoliopsida; Solanales; Solanaceae. The record is from RNAcentral.